ACCCUGCUGAUCGGAAUAGUUGCACUCACCGAUGCAGCAGCAGAAACACCUCUUGCCCAAGAACCCACAACGGUCGGUCCCUGGACCCUGCGGAUGGGAAUAGUUGCACUCACUGACGCAGCAGCAGAAACACUAGUUUUCCUCCUAGACCACAAGGAGGACCGAGGAAGGUCGGAUUUAGUGGCCCUUACCAAUGCAUUC
RNAcentral lists this long non-coding RNA (201 nucleotides) under Homo sapiens (human). RNAcentral's name for it is "HSALNT0130898". The record is from RNAcentral. Lineage: Eukaryota; Metazoa; Chordata; Mammalia; Primates; Hominidae.